AUUGAACGCUGACGGCAGGCCUAACACAUGCAAGUCGAGCGGAGCGGCGGACGGGUGAGUAAUGCCUAGGAAUCUGCCUGGUAGUGGGGGAUAACGUCCGGACCCGGGCGCUAUUACCGCAUCCUAUCAGAUGAGCCUAGGUCGGAUUAGCUAGUUGGUGGGGCAAAGGCCUACCAAGGCGACGAUCCCUAGCUGGUCUGAGAGGAUGAUCAGUCACACUGGAACUGAGACACGGUCCAGACUCCGACGGGAGGCAGCAGUGGGGAAUAGUGGGCAAGGGGCGAAAGCCUGAUCGAGCCAUGCCGCGUGUGUGAAGAAGGUCUUCGGAUUGUAAAGCACUUUAGGUUGGGAGGCGUUACCAACAGAAGAAGCACCGGCUAACUUCGUGCCAGCAGCCGCGGUAAUUC
Molecule: ribosomal RNA, 407 nt
Filed under: uncultured bacterium
Lineage: Bacteria
Description: partial 16S ribosomal RNA
Rfam family: Bacterial small subunit ribosomal RNA
Source: RNAcentral